This 73-nucleotide transfer RNA is filed under the name Xylanimonas protaetiae. It matches the Rfam family "tRNA". From Rfam's summary of the family: Transfer RNA (tRNA) molecules are approximately 80 nucleotides in length. Lineage: Bacteria; Bacillati; Actinomycetota; Actinomycetes; Micrococcales; Promicromonosporaceae. The record is from Rfam by way of RNAcentral.
GCCUCAGUAGCUCAGCGGUUAGAGCUGCGGACUUUUAAUCCGUAGGUCCAGGGUUCGAAUCCCUGCUGGGGCA